Molecule: ribosomal RNA, 163 nt
Filed under: uncultured beta proteobacterium USS25
Lineage: Bacteria; Pseudomonadati; Pseudomonadota; Betaproteobacteria
Description: partial 16S ribosomal RNA
Rfam family: Bacterial small subunit ribosomal RNA
Source: RNAcentral
UUGGUGAGGUAAAGGCUUACCAAGGCUACGAUCAGUAGCUGGUCUGAGAGGACGACCAGCCACACUGGGACUGAGACACGGCCCAGACUCCUACGGGAGGCAGCAGUGGGGAAUUUUGGACAAUGGGGGACAACCCUGAUCCAGCCAUGCCGCGUGAGUGAAG